Pelobates cultripes (western spadefoot toad) is the source of this 25226-nucleotide non-coding RNA. The record is from the annotation of a GenBank genome assembly. Lineage: Eukaryota; Metazoa; Chordata; Amphibia; Anura; Pelobatidae.
AGCGAGUGUUGUUAGAAGCCAUUGUUAUCCCUAACGGAGUAGCUGUCUGGGACUGCCGCGGGCUCAGCGAUUGGACAAGCUCAGUAUCGUGAUUGGUGAGCAGUACAAUAGAUGUCCUGGGAGACGUCAAAACUAAACCAUGCUUUGGAUGAAUUUGUGUAUAUUGCUUUGUUUUGAAUUUCUCCCUUUAGCUCUGCUCUGCCUGUCUUUUUUUUUUUCUCUUUUUUUUUUAAAAAGGGGAAUUAAUUGGAAAUAUGAAUUCCAGCCAGGCUACAGACAUGUAGACAACUAAAACCCUUGUUUCUCCACGCAUUUAUCACAAGCAUAAACUGGAAGAUUAUUCACAUCCACAGUUAGUAAAAACAUGUCUAUCCAGUUAAAGUUUUUUGUCGCUCUGUCAGAAAGUAGUCUUUUUAGUUGUUAACAGUGCAUAUGCCUGUUGAAAUGAAAUAUAAAAAAAUAGGAAUGUCUGUGGAAUAAUAGAGUAUUAGAAGAAGAAAAAACAGAUUAUAAAUAGACUUUUCUUACUCACAUAGAACAGUUCAGGCUUCAGCCUUUACCAUAUUACAUCCAAGACAAGACCAGAACAUGGAUCAUAAGUUUUGACAUUAUCACACGAUCCCCUAUCUCUACCAGAAUAUUGAGUGGACUUGUGAUUACGGUUGGGGAAUGAGAAGUACCCUCCUGUAAAGCCAACAUUGCCAUUUGUCACACUAAAGCCCUAAGUCGCGCCAAUUUUUUUAGAACUCCGGAAUUUUUUUUUAAAUUAAAUCCAGAAAUGUCACCCCUGUACUGAGUGUUUGGGUCAGUGAGGGAGGAUUUGAUCUGCCGAGCAGAUUGUUGAAACGUGUUUAUUUGUUUAGAUCAGGGGUCGUCAACCUGGUUCCUACCGCCCACUUGUGGGUUCUACGGCACAAGCAGAAUCCUCCCUCCAUCUAGAGAGAUGAACACUCUAUUCAUUUCUCGCGCAUUUAGUAGUUAGCAGGAAGUGUGGGCAUGCAGAUGAAAGCGCAAGAACGCGCACGUACGUGUGCGCACAUACAGACAUGUGCGCACGCGAAUGAGUAACACGCAGGUAGAGAAAGGGGAGGAAUUGUAAAAUAGGAGAAAGAAAGAGCAGAGUACUUGUAGAAUAGGAGAAAGAAGGAGCAGAGUACUUGUAAAAAAGGAGAAAGAAGGAGCAGAGUACUUGUAGAAUAGGAGAAAGAAGGAGCAGAGUACUUGUAAAAAAGAAGAAAGAAGGAGCAGAGUACUUGUAGAAUAGGAGAAAGAAGGAGCAGAGUACUUAAAAAAAUAGGAGAAAGAAGGAGCAGAGUACUUGUAAAAAGGAGAAAGAAGGAGCAGAGUACUUGUAGAAUAGGAGAAAGAAGGAGCAGAGUACUUAUAGAAUAGGAGAAAGAAGGAGCAGAGUACUUGUAAAAAGGAGAAAGAAGGAGCAGAGUAUUUGUAGAAUAGGAGAAAGAAGGAGCAGAGUACUUGUAGAAUAGUAGAAAGAAGGAAAAUACAAAAAAAAGGAAGGAGAAGGAGAGAAUUGUUGUUGGCUAAUAAUAAUAAGAGGGCUACCUAGCUCAGCCUUCCUGCUGGGCAUUGCUAUAAAGGAAGGUAAUAAUAAAGGAAAAGGAGAAAAAAAGGAAGAAAAAGAUAGAAAAAAGGGGUGGGGAAUUGAGGAGGUAGAGGAGGGGAGAUGAUGCAUGGAUGAGAAGUCAUAUUAUGAGCAAACAGAGAAAUCGUCUGAAUAUCACCGAAAGAGGAGACCUUUGUUUGUUCCUUAUGAAAAUCGAACCAGAUAUGAAAUAUUUAGUCUCGCAGCACCUGCUUCAAGGAUCUCAUUACUCACUAGUUAAAGGUAAUUUCAAUUUACUUUGUUUUCUCAUUAAACUUUAAAAAGUUAAAAACAUUAUAAACAUGCAUAAAGUAGAAAUAAAAAUAUAAAUUUAAGUACUUUUUUUUUAACCCCUUAAGGACACAUGACAUGUGUGACAUGUCAUGAUUCCCUUUUAUUCCAGAAGUUUGGUCCUUAAGGGGUUAAACACCCUCCUUUCUAAAAAAAAAUAUUCUGCACUUGUGCUAAAAAAAACCGAAAACUAUUGGGCGGUAAGGAAAUUUUCCCAUCAAGAAAGAUGCAUUAGUAAGCGGUAGAUAUAAAAAGGUUGACUACCCCUGAUUUAGAUAUACGCCAAUACAAAAGAUCUCUGGGAAAGUAAUUCACAAAUUCUCCUGAGAUUACAUCAAAACGCAUUAAAAUUAUUGCCACUUACACACUGACAUGAUACAUAAAAAAACAAAACAAGAUCCAAUGUGUCUGAUUACCGACCUGUUAAGUCGCAUGCUGGAGGUGUUCCUCUUUUUUUAAGAGAAAGCACCUAAAUGAUAUUGCAGAAGGUCUUGAUGGUAAGGUAUGUCUUUUUGCUGAUGAUACUAAGAUAUGUAACAGGGUUGAUGUUCCAGGAGGGAUAAGCCAAAUGGCAAAUUAUUUAGGUAAAUUAGAAAAAUGGUCAGAGUUGUGGCAACUGACAUUUAAUGUGGAUAAGUGCAAGAUAAUGCAUCUUGGACGUAAAAACCCAAGGGCAAAGUACAGAAUAUUUGAUAGAGUCCUAACCUCAACAUCUGAGGAAAGGGAUUUAGGGGUGAUUAUUUCAGAUGACUUAAAGGUAGGCAGACAAUGUAAUAGAGCAGCAGGAAAUGUUAGCAGUAGAAAGAGGGAAGUGCUCAUGCCAUUGUACCGAACACUGGUGAAACCUCACUUGGAGUAUUGUACGCAGUACUGGAGACCGUAUCUUCAGAAGGAUAUUGAUACUUUAGAGAGAGUUCAGAGAAAGGCUACUAAACUGGUUCAUGGAUUGCAGGAUAAAACUUACCAGGAAAGGUUAACAUGUAUAGCUUGGAGGAAAGACGAGACAGGGGGGAUAUGAUAGAAAUAUUUAAAUACAUAAAGGGAAUCAACACAGUAAAGGAGCAGGCCAUAUUUAAAAGAAGAAAAACUACCACAACAAGAGGACAUAGUCUUAAAUUAGAGGGGCAAAGGUUUAAAAAUAAUAUCAGUAAGUACUACUUUACUGAGAGCAUAGUGGAUGCAUGGAAUAGCCUUCCAGCUGAAGUGGUAGAGGUUAACACAGUAAACGAGUUUAAGCAUGCGUGGGAUAGGCACAAGGCUAUCCUAACUAUAAGAUAAGGCCAGGGACUAAUGAAAUGAAAGUAUUUAGAAAAUUGGGCAGACUAGAUGGGCCGAAUGGUUCUUAUCUGCCGUCACAUUCAAUGUUUCUAUGUUUAAAUAAUACUUUAUAUUAUCAGACUCAUAGCUUCUUAAUCCACUUCUGGUCUAGGGAAUUGUCGAACACUAGUCCACAAGACUGAACUAUUUUGCUGUGGUCAGAAGUUGCCUGCAACUGAUUAGUGUAGCGGUACUUACCCUUUCCAGGGGCCGGCCGGGGUCCUCUGUUUGAGCCGCGCGCGGCCCAUCCGACAGCUGUAACAGGAAGGCGGGCAGUGACCGCGAGAAGCGGACACGUGUCCCGCCUAACUCUAAGAGCGCGCCGCGGGUCUCGGGCGCGCUCUUAAAAGGACAGUGGGAGCCUAAAUUGGAAAAGGCAUCCCAUUGGUCCCUGUCAUGCCACACUCCCCAUACACUUACCUUUUGGGGGCGUGGAUGUGACAGGGACCAAUCAAAUGAGAUGUUUAGGUAUAUAUACUCACCUUUUUCCCUGAGUUCAUUGCCCUAUUGUGGUUUCUGUUUCAGUUCCCUUUAGCACUUGUUGUGUUCAGUUGUGUUCCUUCGUACUUGACCUUGGCUUUGUUUCUGACUACGUUAUCUCUUUAUCCUUAUCUGUUCUGUUUGCCGGCUUGCUGUUUUUCUGUGUACCAGACCCCGGCUAGUCCAAGUUUACGCUGUCUCUUUGUGCCCUUGACCUCGGAUCGCUCCUGACUCUGUAUCUUUCUCCUUUACGUCGAGUCCGGCCACUCUAAGGUCCGGUAGACGUACCUUCCCUCUGUGCUGACAUUUGUUUAGCUUAAAUUCUGCAUGUUGGGGUAUAUUUUCGUUACAUUACAAUAGGGCCAUGGACCACGCAGAUUUAGCUCAGCAGAUGGCUUCUCAUGAGGCUAGAUUUGUAGAGCAGGAUCACCGUAUGGAUCAGAUAGCCCAGGCUCUCCAGACGCUCUUAUCUAGAACUAUUCCAGCAACCACACCUAACCCUCCUACACCUCUUCUUCCUGAAGUGUCUACUUUGCCUAAUGCUUCGGCCCAUUUAACACCUCCUCCUAGGUAUGGAGGGGACUCUAAGACAUGCAGAGGUUUCAUUAAUCAAAUAGAAUUCCACUUUGAGAUGUAUUCAUGUUCCUUUCCCACAGAUAAGUCUAAAGUGGGGUUCCUUAUGCACCAACUUACCGAUAAAGCACUUGAGUGGGUAAAUCCUAUUUGGGAGGCUAAUGGACCUAUGGUGCACAAUUUCAAUAGUUUCCUUACGGCUUUUCGUAGGACUUUUGACACAACUAAAAGGUCAAAGAAUGCCGCCAGAACAUUAAUGAGAAUUAAACAGGGUUCUAGGUCUGUUGCUGACUAUGCCAUUCAGUUUCGUACCCUUGCUUCACAGGUAGAUUGGACCAACAAUGGGCUAACAACUGCAUUCAUGGAAGGUUUAUCUGACACUAUAUUGGAUGAGGUAGCGGCUAGGGAGCUUCCUAUUGCAUUAGAGGACCUUAUUGACUACCUCAUUGAUAUAGAUAACAGGAUUCGUGACAGACUCUAUACUAAAAACCGGAAUAGACGUUUAGUUACACCUAUUAACCCCAGAGACUGUCAAAGUAUCACAGGACGAACCCAUGCAAUUAGGGGUUGCCAAACUCUCUGAAACUGAAUAAUUACAUAGGAGAAGGGACGGACUCUGCCUAUACUGUGGUAGGAGAGACCAUAUGAUAAAAGAAUGUCCCGUGCUUCCGGGAAACUCUCGCACCUAAGGCCUUAUAGGGGACUGGCCUUGGGUGUGAUAUCUAAGUCUCCUAAAUUGCCUCCUAACCGUUUGCUUCUUCCUGUUUCUUUGUAUAUGGGAGAGGGUUGCAUAGCUGAGCACAUACAAGCCUUGGUUGACUCCGGGGCAGCUGAUAAUUUCAUGGACUCAGGUUUUGUUAAGAAAAACAACAUUCCCAUCAGAGAGAAGGAGAUACCCUUGGCCGUUGAGGCCAUAGAUGGUAGACCAUUAAGUUCUCCAGUUGUUACUCAUGAAACUGUACCAUUACACAUGUAUACAGGGGCUUUACACUUUGAAACCAUUCGGUUCCAGGUCAUCACAUCUCCCUCUUCUCACAUCGUGUUAGGGUACCCAUGGUUACGUACUCACAAUCCCAUUUUCGAUUGGGAGUCAGGGCAAAUAAAAUCAUGGAGCGAUGCCUGCCAUGAGUCUUGUACUAUUGAAGUCACCCCUUUGAAUUCUAUUAAUGUUCCUACUACUCCUCCUUUGUCUACUGUUAUACCCCCUCAGUACUUAUUUCUCAAAACUGUCUUCGAUAAAAGGGAGGCUGACAAAUUACCGCCUCACAGACCCUACGAUUGUGCUAUCGAUUUAUUGCCUGGCACAAUACCUCCAAAGGGCAGGGUGUACCCUUUAUCUGUUCAAGAAAACCGUGUCAUGGAGGAGUAUAUUAAGGAAUCAUUAGAAAAGGGGUUUAUUAGGCUGGAGCGGGGUUGAGCGGCUGGAGCGAGGUUCUUCUUUGUAUCAAAGAAAGAAGGUGAUUUAAGACCGUGUAUCGAUUAUAGAGGUCUAAAUAAAAUCACCAUCAAAAAUGCAUGCCCUAUACCUUUAAUCACGGAAUUAUUUGACAGGCUCAAACAUGCUACUGUAUUCACUAAAUUGGAUCUUAGAGGUGCAUACAAUUUAAUACGUAUUAAGAAAGACCACGAAUGGAAAACGGCAUUCAACACUAGAUCUGGCCAUUACGAGUAUACUGUUAUGCCAUUUGGUCUAUGUAAUGCCCCAGUAGUAUUUCAAGAAUUUAUCAAUGACGUUUUAAGAGACUUUAUUCACACAUUUGUAAUUGUGUACUUGGACGACAUAUUAAUAUACUCCACAGAUUUACACACUCAUCACAGGCAUGUUACGACAGUUCUGAAGACCCUUCUUGCUAAUGGUCUUUAUUGUAAACUGGAAAAAUGUCUAUUUGACCAUUCCGAAGUUCAGUUUUUGGGGUAUUUGAUUUCCGCUAAAGGUUUUCGUUUGGAUCCCCAGAAGCUUUCUGCUGUCAUGGAAUGGCCUCUACCACAAGGUUUGAAAGCCAUUCAGCGUUUUCUUGGUUUCUCUAACUAUUAUAGACGCUUUAUUAAAGGUUUUUCCUCUAUUGUAACGCCUAUCACCCGUAUGACAAAAAAGGAUGGCAAUACUCGUGUCUGGUCUCCCGAGGCACUUCAGGCUUUUGAAUUUCUUAAAACUACGUUUGCUUCUGCACCUAUUUUACAGCAUCCUGUCCCCACACUGCCCUAUAUUCUUGAAGUUGAUGCUUCUGAUAUCGGGGUAGGUGCUGUCUUAUCCCAAAGAGAGUCGCCUGAAAAGCCAUUGCAUCCUUGUGGCUUCUUUUCCAAACAAAUGUCCAAAGCAGAAAAUAAUUAUGAUGUGGGUAAUCGCGAACUCCUUGCCAGUGGCGUACAUACCAGGGUCGCAGGGGUCGCGGCUGCGACCGAGCCCGGCCCACCAGGGGGCCCGGUCGCCCCUGCAACCCGGUAUGUACGCACAGGGCCAGCCUCUUCUCCUGGGGGGCCCAGGAGGCGGCCACCUCAGGGCCCCCCCCCGAGGCUGACCCGGGCAGGCUCUCUGUCUGGGUGGCCGGUGCGCGAGGGAGCACUUUCCCCUAAGUGCUCCCUCUUCAGCUCCCUCGCGCACCGCACUGAUACCGGAGCCUGAAGAUGAAGUCAUCUUCCGGCGCCGGCAUCCCUAUGCGGCGUGCGAGGGAGCUGAAGAGGGAGCACAUAGGGGAAAGUGCUCCCUCGCUCCGGCCACCCAGACAGACAGCCUGCCCAGCAGCACCACUGGACCCCAGGGAAUCCCCUCCUUUCUAAAAUAGUUAAAAUAGUUUCCUUACGGCUUUUCGUAGGACUUUUGACACAACUAAAAGGUCAAAGAAUGCCGCCAGAACAUUAAUGAGAAUUAAACAGGGUUCUAGGUCUGUUGCUGACUAUGCCAUUCAGUUUCGUACCCUUGCUUCACAGCAAAAGGUAAGGCGGCUGGGGGGAUUAAAUAAAAAAAAUUAAAAAAAAUGUGUUUGUGUGUGUUAGUGUGUGUGUGUGUUAGUGUGUGUGUGUGUUAGUGUGUGUGUGUGUGUUAGCGUGUGUAUGUGUGUUUGUGUGCUUGUGUGUUAGUUUGUGUGUUAGUGUUUGUGUGUGUUUGUGUGUGUAUGUGUCAGUGUGUGUUUGUGUUAGUGUUUGUGUGUGUAUGUGUCAGUGUGUGUUUGUGUUAGUGUUUGUGUGUGUGUGUCUGUUAUUGGGUGUGUGUCUGCUAGUGAGUGUGUUACUGUGUGUGUCUGUUACUGAGUGUGUUUGAUGUCUGUUAGUGAGUGUGUGUUUGUCAGUGAAAGUGUAUGUUUUGUAAGUGAGUGUGUAUGUAUGUCUGUCACUGAGUGUGUCUCUGUCAGUAAAUGUGUGUGUCUGUUAGCUAGUGUGUAUGCGUCUGUUCGUGAGAGUGUGCGUGUGUGUCUUUAGCAUUUACCUUUCUCCAGCGUCGGACUCCAUUGGCGCUGGGGAUCCCUCCGCCUCUCAGCUCCGAAUGCACAUGCGCGGCAAGAGACGCGCGCGCAUUUAAACCGCCCAUAGGAAAGCAUUACUCAAUGCUUUUCUAUGGACGUUGAGUGUCUUCUCACUGUGAUUUUCAGUGAGAAUCACGGAAGCUCCUCUAGCGGCUGUCAAUGAGACAGCCACCAGAGGCUGGAUUAACCCUCAGUGAAACAUAGCUGUAUGUUUUCAGCUGCAGGGUUAAAACUAGAGGGACCUGGCACCCAGACCACUUCAUUGAGCUGAUGUGAUCUGGGUGUCUGUAGUGGUCCUUUAAGUGUGUGUGCAUACCUCGGUUGCGGGGUCACAGCCCUACAUCCCCUGCGACCAGGUGCCCGCCGCCAUGUGUUGCAGCCCCAACCCACGCCGAGGGGGGGGGGCCCACGGAUCAAUUUCCGCACCGGGGCCCCAUGGUUCAUGUGUACGCCACUGCUCCUUGCUAUUAUUUUAGCACUGAAAGAAUGGAGACAUUUGUUAGAAGGAACUAAGGAUCCUAUCCUCAUAUUUACGGAUCACAAGAACCUAUCCUACCUUAGUGAGGCUAAAAGAUUGUUUUCUAGGCAGGCUAGGUGGUCACUGUUUUUGUCUCAUUUCAAUUACAUUAUCACCUAUAGGACAGGUGACCGCAACACUAAAGCAGACGCUCUGUCCAGACAGUUCGAAACUACUGACAAACAGGAGAUUGAUGUGACUCCUGUAAUUCCCCCAGAAAGGAUAAUAGCUACCACUAUUUUGUCUAUUUCUUCGUCCCUCUUGCAGGCCAUACAAGCAAAACAAAGCAUGGCACCUAGCGAGAGACCUACUGAUAAACUGUUUGUUGAUGUUCCCGAGAGACGGGAGAUUCUGUCGUGGUAUCAUGACACUAAGACUGCUGGACAUCCUGGUGUUUCCAAAACGGUGUCAGCUUUUUCUCGGUAUUUUUGGUGGGAUUCCUUACGCAAGGAUGUCACCGACUAUAUAGGUGCUUGUACUACUUGUGCCUGUAUGAAAUCUUCUCGUAGGGUUCCUUGUGGGCUGUUGCAUCCGUUACCCAUUCCCGAGAGAACUUGGUCUAACCUGUCCAUGGAUUUUAUUGUUGAAUUACCCCCUUCGAAUGGUAACACAGUUAUCCUAAUGAUAGUGGAUCGGUUUUCCAAGAUGGCUCACUUUGUGUCUCUUCACAAGCUGCCCACGUCCAGGGAACUAGCACUUAUUUUCGACAGAGAGGUGUUUCGAUUACAUGGCAUUCCCGUAUCUAUUGUGUCCGAUAGGGGUAGCCAAUUUAUUUCCAGGUUCUGGAAAGCCUUUUGUUCGGAAAUGGGUAUUUCUCUCUCAUUUUCUUCCGCUUACCACCCCCAGUCUAAUGGAGCUGCUGAACGUGCCAAUCAAUCUCUGGAGCAGUACCUUCGUUGUUUCGUAUCCCACCAUCAGAACAAUUGGUCUGACCUUCUUCCUUGGGCUGAGUUUGCUCGGAAUAACGCUACUCAUGAUUCUUCCGGCAAGAGUCCUUUUUACGUUGUCUAUGGCCAACAUCCUGUUGUUCUUCCGGCUGCUUUCUCCUCACAGGGCAUGCCAGUUCUGGAUGAACAUUUGGCUAAUUUGCGUAAUACUUGGGAGCAGGUUCAGCGUUCUUUGGUGGAUUCCGCUGCUCGCCAGAAGGUGAAGGCUGACAAGCAUCGCAGGGCGGCUCCUUCUUAUGUCGUGGGGGACAGGGUUCUGCUUUCCACGCGAAACAUUCGCCUCCGGGUGCCUUCUAUGAAAUUGGCUCCCCGCUUUAUUGGUCCUUAUCGUAUUCUGCAUAAGGUUAAUCCUGUUUCGUAUGCCUUGGGUCUCCCUAAGAAUCUGCGUAUUCCUAAUGUCUUUCACACCUCGUUGUUGAAGCCUUUCGUAUGCAACUGCUAUACCCGGCAUACUCCUCCUCCCCCUCCUGUCUCUGUGGAGGGUCAUGAGGAAUUUGAAGUUUCUGCUGUUCUUGACUCUCGUUUCCUUAGAGGUCGACUUCAGUACCUGUUGCAUUGGAAGGGCUAUGGGCCUGAGGAUUUCACGCUCCUCGUCUUGUGCGCUCUUUCCAUUCUCGUUUUCCUGCCAGGCCUGGCCCUCCCCGCCCGGAGGGCGUGUCCUCAGGGGGGGGUACUGUAGCGGUACUUACCCUUUCCAGGGGCCGGCCGGGGUCCUCUGUUCGAGCCGCGCGCGGCCCAUCCGACAGCUGUAACAGGAAGGCGGGCAGUGACCGCGAGAAGCGGACACGUGUCCCGCCUAACUCUAAGAGCGCAGCGCGGGUCUCGGGCGCGCUCUUAAAAGGACAGUGGGAGCCUAAAUUGGAAAAGGCAUCCCAUUGGUCCCUGUCAUGCCACACUCCCCAUACACUUACCUUUUGGGGGCGUGGAUGUGACAGGGACCAAUCAAAUUAGAUGUUUAGGUAUAUAUACUCACCUUUUUCCCUUAGUUCCUUGCCCUAUCGUGGUUUCUGUUUCAGUUCCCUUUAGCGCUUGUUGUGUUCCUUCGUACUUGACCUUGGCUUUGUUUCUGACUACGUUAUCUCUUUAUCCUUAUCUGUUCUGUUUGCCGGCUUGCUGUUUUUCUGUGUACCAGACCCCGGCUAGUCCAAGUUUACGCUGUCUCUUUGUGCCCUUGACCUCGGAUCGCUCCUGACUCUGUAUCUCUCUCCUUUAAGUCGAGUCCGGCCACUCUAAGGUCCGGUAGACGUACCUUCCCUCUGUGCUGACAUUUGUUUAGCUUAAAUUCUGCGUGUUGGGGUAUAUUUUCGUUACAAUUAGAUUGUGGCCUACUGGUUAACUUAUACUGGGGGAGACGGCCAAUUCCCCACUUUGCUGUGCUUCUAUUGCUCUGUUUCCCCUCCCCACCCUUUGGACCUGUUGGGGAUAUCCCAGUCCCCGCUGGUGUGGUUUUCAUAACAAACCAGAGAGAUUCCUAUUGCUGGACUCGGUCUUCAAUAGGAGGCCAAGCGGCUAUGAUCACAGAUGCCUGAGCAUGUGGCUAUCUUCAACACUCAUCUUCAGAGAUGGCUACUAUUAAAGCUUUUGACCAAUUAUGUGCUCACUUUUGGGAGAAAAUUUUAAAAAGAGCUUUUCACCUUAAACGUGAGCAAGCUGAGACAGAUCCUGUGCCCACUCCAUCAUUUCUGUUGUCAGAGAGAUUUAAAGCUUACCACUCCUUACCUGGUCCUGGAGCCACUAGGGACUGGAGCUUUUCACAUGGCCCAUGCCAUCAGAGAGCCACCAGUAGAAGGUAUUACAGGCGUAUUACAGGUCUCCCUUAGUAUCUCUAUCUGGGUUCCGGAAGAUGCCCAAUUAGUGGACAGGAUUUGUUGGCUCCAGUUGAGAGCUUGGGCUGGUGGACACCAUAGACUGCUUGAUGUAUAUCAUCGUGAAUUCGAGUAAAUGCAACUUUCCAUGCCAAAGAGUAGGCUGACUUUCCUAUCUAUUAGAAGAGCCUUGUAGCUUGGUUUAAACGUGGGUCUCCCCUGUUUUGAUGAUCUGUUAGGGGCCACUUGGAUGUUUUGUUUUAUGAGUCUUAUCUCCAACAGCUUUGCAGAUGUUUUAUUACGUUUCUUUGCUUACGAAAAGCAUAUUUUUCUUUAUUAUACUCAUCUGCUUGUUUUGUAAUGCUUUAAGCUGCUGUGUACUUUUUUAAUGUCUUUAUCUCUAAACAAAAGAGGUGCAUUCAUCUGACACCUAUACAUAAUUUGUAAUACUGAUGGCUUACAUCAUUUUACUUUGUCUAUGAUGUAUAUUGGUACAAAAUAAGAAAUGUAUUCUGCAUUCAUCCCAAAAUGCAUUCUCAUUACAAGCUACUUAGUGGAGAGUCCUAGCAGUGCUGUUUCCAGUCUGUCUUAUGUGAGUACCCAAGCCUCAAACCGUAUCUAUGAGCUUUCUCAAAUGUGUAGUGAAUAAACACCCCAGAGGCCAUAAUAAAAGAAAGGUUUGAUAGAUUGAAGGGGUUAAUUAGGGUAAGUAGUGGGGUUUUACAUGGCCUACAAGUCAGGAAUUUAUGUGCAGAAAGAAAGUCUUUUUAUACUUUUCACAAAGAAAGAGUAAAGGGGAUAGACUAUUCUAUAAAUCAGUCUGCAUCAUUGUGGUGGGAUUAAUUUAUUGCAAAAUUUUGGCAAGCAGAAUGAAGAGAUUUGCGGAGGACACGGAUUCUGACCUCUUUUCAUAAAAUAAAAAUGCCUCUUGAAUCCACUCUUAAACUAGAGCUUUCUGUCUCGUUUUCUUUUUGUUCCAUAAAUUUCCGACACAUGCUGUGGUCCUGUUCAUCCGGGGGUUAAUGAUUAUUACUAAAAUUACAUAUAUUGACAAAGGAUGGAGCGAGUCCAGUUAUAUAGGGAUAUUACUAGACUGCAUGGGAACCAAGCUAGGAGAACGUAGCAUUGUGGUUCAGCCAAAAACCCAGGACUUAACUGUUUUACAGGGAAUUAAUUUUGGUCAGCAGCCAGUGUAGUUUCACGCCGGAUUCGAUGGAAAAUAGCAUGAAUUUUGAAAUAAUUCUAAGACUGUCUAUGGUGAGCGUGUGUGCACACUUUCACCACUAGAUGGCAGAAAUAUUACCUUUUUGCAGGUACAGGGCAGCAGACACUACAUAGGAAGAAAUUUGGCGUGAGAGAGUUUGGACGGGAAAGUCCAAGACUUUGCACAUACAGUUCUUUCACCCUUACAUUCCUCCUCCAGAAGAAACAGAAAUCACUCGGGGCUAUUCACUAAAGUGAGAAUUGCAUUGAAUUCAAAGUGAAUUUCACAUUUUACACCUACAUAGACGAAAUGUUAGUUGAGUUGAGAGAUGAGAAGCCUGGUCAUAGCAUACGUCGCUUUAACAGCACAACCAGGCCCCUUCCUCUCUGCUGGGUGAGCUGGGAGGAUGUGAGAGACGGUCACUGCCUCCCAGCUGACAUAGACCCAGCCGAGUGAAAAAGGGGGUUGUACGAGCUACGUGGGGGGGAAGAGGGGAGGGAGGAUGAGGAGGGGGGGAGAGGAGCAAGCCUCUAUCUCCCAGCCAGCAAAAGGUAGAAAACCGGAGGGUGGCUAAAUUUUUGAUUUUGGGUGUGUAUAUCUGUAUGUAUGUAGUGUUUGUGUCAGAGUGUGUAUCUGUGUGUGUGUCAUUUUAUAUGUGUAUCUCUGUGUGUAUGUGUGUCAGUGUGUGUAUCUGUAUGUAUGUAGUGUUUGUGUCAGAGUGUGUAUAAUUUUAUAUGUAUAUCUCUAUGUCUGUUUAUUUGUAUGUGUGUCAGUGUGUGUAUCUGUAUGUCUCAGUAUGUGUAUCUGUGUGUCUGUUUCUGUACAUGUGUUUUUGUAUCUGUGUAUUUGAGACAUAGGGCAGGGGGAAAAAAGUAUAAAUUUUAAAUAACAGCAACUUUAUUAAUUACAAACAUUUCUCUAAUAUCAGGGGUACAGUUUAUAGAAAAAGGCUGCCAAGGGAUACACAAGUAAAAAAAAGUUUGGGAACCACUGCUCUACACUGUAGACAUUCAGUGGGAGACUUGUCACUGUCAGGGUACCUUUGGUGUCUACCUCGGAGGAGGUUAGACACCUAGACGUCCAUCCUCCCAGGGGGGCUGACUCACCCGAUCCUUGCACUCCUCCCGGUCGUUUACACGCCGGCCGCGAUAGCUCCGCCUCCUUUUAUGACGCGGCGCUCAGUAGCCGACGUCAUGGCGGCAAUCACGUUCCGACCCGUCAAUCACGGCAACCAAGUGCCGAACAACGAAUCAGGACUCGUUGGGGGCGGAGCCAACAGUUAAAGAGCCAAGGUAUAAAAAAGGGUUCUGUGGAAUGAUUCAUUGCCCUGUCGUGGUUCUAGCUAGUCUGGUCACUCAGUGCAAUUACCUCUAUUGUCUUUUGGUUUCUGACUCGGCUUGUAUUUUGACCCUGCUUUCCUCUCUUGUCCUUUUGACUCGGCUUGUCUCUCGCUUACCUGAUCUCUCGUUCCCUCGACCUCGGCUUGUCUCUGACUAUUCUUUUGCUUUCUCCUUACGUUAGUCCGGCCAUUCUAAGGUCCGGUAUACGUACCUACCCUCCUGUUUGUAUUCUGCGUGUUGGAUCCCUGUCACGAUCCUGACAUUACGACAGGGCCAAUGGAUCCUGCAGGUACAAACUCUCAGGUCGGUUCUCCUGACUCUAGAUUUGAGGCCAUGGAUCAUAGAAUGGACCAGAUGGCUCUAGCUCUGCAAGCAUUGCUAUCUCGUCCUAGUAGUCACUCAGAGGAGAUGCGUACCCCAUCUAUCUCUCCUAUAAGUACAGGCCUAGAGGUAGCCAUAGUGGCUACUUCUUCCCGUGUUACGUCCCCGUCACGCUAUGGCGGCGCUCCUGACACUUGUCGAGGUUUUUUAAACCAGAUUGGUAUUCAUUUUGAAUUACAACCCCACGCCUACCCUACUGACAGGGCAAAGGUUGGAUUUAUAAUUACCUUGCUCAUUGACAAGGCACUUAGAUGGGCUAACCCCCUGUGGGAAAAUGAUAACCCGUUAGUUUAUAAUUAUAAUGCUUUUGUCGCUGCAUUUAGGAGAGCUUUUGACCCUCCAGGAAGAAAGGCCAAUGCAGCUAGACUACUGUUACGUCUUAGACAGUAUAACCGAACCCUAGUGGAUUAUGCCUUGGAGUUCAGAUCCUUGGCGGCAGAGGUCAAGUGGAAUGAACAGGCUUAUAUGGACGUAUUUAUGAACGGGUUAUCUGAUGAGAUUUUAGAUGAGGUGGCCACAAGAGAUCUUCCUGAAAAUUUGGAGGAUCUGAUUUCAUUUAUUUCCCGAAUAGAUGAACGUAUGAGACAGAGGCAGAAUAUUCGGGAUAGAACCCGCAGAUCCUCCAUAAGACUAGCUCCCUCAUUUCAGACUUCUGAUUCUACGACUUUAGCUCUCCCAGAACCUAUGCAAAUAGGUCAUACUCGACUCUCAGAGGAGGAAAGACAGUACAGGAGAAGGGAGGGUCUUUGUAUGUAUUGCGGAAUUAGAGGUCACCUACGCCUAAAUUGCCCUAACCGGCCGGGAAACGCUCGCACCUAAGUUUCUCAAGAGGACAGGCCUUGGGUGUUUCUAUCUUGUCCUCUAUUUAUGAUUAUAAAGAUCAUAGGCUUCUGAUACCUGUUUCUUUAGCUUGGGAAAAGGGAGUACUUAAUGCUAUGGCUUUGAUAGAUUCCGGAGCAGCUGAAAGCUUUAUUGACCAAGCCUUUGUCACUAACCAUUCUAUCCCAUCUCAGCUAAGGGAUACACCCUUGGCCGCUGAGGCCAUAGAUGGUAGACCAUUAUCUGAACCUGUGAUUUUUCGUGAAACCAUACCAAUUAAGUUAACCACUGGUAUCCUUCACGAGGAAAGAAUAUCCCUCAUGCUGAUCUCAUCUCCUUCAGUUCCUAUAGUCUUGGGGUAUCCCUGGCUUAAGAAGCAUAACCCUAUCAUUGACUGGGAACUGGGUGAGAUAGUCUCCUGGGGUCAGGGUUGCCAGAAAGGAUGUGUGCAGAAAGUCUCACCAAUUUGCAGGGUUGACGCCCCGGUUAACUCUUCCCAACCUACAGAUUUACAGAUACCAUCACAGUACCAGGAUUUAAAGGCAGUCUUUGACAAAAAGAGGGCUGAUACUUUACCUCCACAUAGGUCUUUCGACUGUAAAAUUAGACUCCUACCUGGUACUAUGCCUCCGAGGGGUACGGUAUAUCCUCUAUCCACUAAGGAAAACUUAGUCCUAGAGGAGUACAUACGUGAAAACCUAGACAAAGGUUUUAUUAGGAGAUCAUCUUCUCCGGCCGGGGCCGGUUUCUUUUUUGUAGAUAAAAAGACGGCACUCUACGGCCUUGCAUUGAUUAUCGGGGCUUGAAUAAGAUAACUGUUAGAAAUGCUUAUCCUAUUCCUUUAAUUACUGAGCUCUUUGAUCGACUGAAAGGCUCCAAGAUUUUUACCAAGUUAGCUUUGAGGGGAGCUUAUAACUUGGUGAGAAUUCAGCAGGGAGACGAAUGGAAAACAGCUUUCAAUACCCGUUAUGGCCACUAUGAAUACACGGUAAUGCCCUUCGGACUUUGCAAUGCACCUGCAGUAUUCCAGGACCUUAUUAAUGAGGUUCUUAGGGAAUUUCAGCAUGAAUGCGUUAUAGUAUAUUUGGAUGAUAUACUAAUACACUCUAGAGAGAUUGAGACUCACCACAGACGAGUCAGAAGGGUACUGCGCAAACUGUUACAACAUGGAUUGUACUGCAAAUUGGAAAAGUGUAGCUUCGACCAAUCUCAGAUAAACUUUCUUGGCUACGUUAUUUCUGGAGACGGAUUUAGGAUGGACCCCAUUAAACUCCAAUCGAUUUUAGAUUGGCCAUUGCCCAGGGGACUCAAGGCCAUUCAGAGAUUUAUCGGAUUUUCCAAUUAUUAUAGGCGCUUCAUUAAAGGUUACUCUUCUAUUAUUGCUCCUAUUACUAAUAUGACUAGACAGGGGGCUGAUACCAAGACUUGGUCCACAGAGGCUCUCUCUGCUUUCAAAACUCUCAAGGAACAUUUUGCCUCAGCACCGAUAUUAGUUCAUCCUGACACAUCUUUGCCUUUUCUACUCGAGGUUGACGCCUCGGAGACAGGUAUAGGCGCUAUCUUGUCCCAAAGGCUAGGUUUGGAUAAACCGUUACAUCCAUGUGGUUUUUUUUCCAAGAAAUUAUCUGGGCCUGAAAGUAGAUAUGACAUUGGUGAUAGGGAACUGUUAGCGGUCAUUAUGGCUUUAAAGGAAUGGAGACAUUUGUUGGAGGGGACAUUAUACCCGGUUACUAUUUUGACUGAUCACAAGAAUUUGUCCUACAUAGGGGAGGCCAAGCGCUUGUCCGCCAGGCAAGCUCGUUGGUCCUUGUUUCUGACACAUUUCAAUUACGUGCUCACUUAUAGACCUGGUUCUAAGAACUCUAAGGCAGAUGCAUUGUCCCGUCAACAUGAACCCUCUACGGUGUCUGAAGCAGCUUUGUCUUCUAUCGUUCCUAAGUGUAAGAUUAUUGCCAACACUUGUGUCAGGAUACACUCGCCGUUGCUUGCUGAGAUCAAGAAAGUACAACAUCUAGCUCCCAAACCUGUUCCUGGGGAUCGAUACUUCGUUCCUCCUGAGCUCCAAGUGGAACUGCUGCAUUGCUUUCAUGACAGUAAAAUUGCUGGGCACCCCGGCACACGCAAAACGUGUUCCCUGAUUUCUAAAGAUUUCUGGUGGCCUUCCCUUCGUAAGGAUAUAAGGGAUUUCGUCAGGGCAUGUGCUGUCUGUAUGAAGACUAAGCAACCUCACGCGCUCCCUUGUGGACUUUUGCAUCCCUUAGAAAUUCCCGAGAGACCAUGGUCGUGUUUGGCUAUGGAUUUCAUUGUCGAUUUGCCUGUUUCUAAAAAACAUACUGUUAUUCUCACGGUGAUUGACAGGUUUACUAAAAUGGCUCAUUUCGUGCCCUUGCCUAAACUGCCCUCGUCUCCCGAAUUAGCUGAGAUAUUCGCGAGGGAGAUUUUUCGUCUACAUGGUAUUCCCUCUGAAAUUGUUUCUGAUAGAGGUUCCCAAUUUGUUUCCCGCUUUUGGAAGUCUUUCUGUUCUCACUUAGGCAUCAAGUUGAACUUCUCCUCUGCCUAUCAUCCCCAGUCCAACGGAGCUGCCGAACGCACCAACCAAAAGAUUGAACAAUAUUUGCGUUGUUUUGUUUCUGAACACCAGGACGAUUGGGUUGGUCUGAUUCCUUGGGCAGAGUUUGCACACAACAAUCUCGUUUGUGAUUCUACUCGUUCUAGCCCCUUUUUCUUGAAUUAUGGCUUUCAUCCUUCCAUUCUUCCGUCGGUUUCCCCUUCCCAAGGGGUUCCGUCGGUUGAUGUUCAUGUCGCCAAUCUGAGAAAGUUGUGGGAUCAGACUCGACGAAUUCUUCUUCAGAAUUCCAUGGUGUUCAAACGACACGCUGACAAACGGAGACGGGUGGCUCCGGUUUUUGCCCCGGGUGAUAGGGUGUGGUUGAGUACCAGAAACAUCCGCUUGAAGGUUCCUUCCAUGAAAUUUGCCCCUCGUUACAUAGGCCCUUACAAGGUUCUGUGUCGGAUUAACCCGGUUGCAUAUCGUCUUGCCCUUCCGCCUGCCCUGCGCAUCCCUAACUCUUUUCAUGUUUCUUUAUUGAAGCCUUUGGUUUGCAACAGAUUUUCCUCCCCUGAGUCCUCCCCUCUCGCUGUCCAGGUUGAGGGUCAGGAGGAAUAUGAAAUCAAAUCCAUUCUCGAUUCUCGUAUUUCUCGGGGGAAGUUGCAAUAUCUUGUUGACUGGAAGGGGUAUGGGCCUGAAGAAAGGUCUUGGGUGGUCCAUGAAAAUGUGCAUGCCCCUCGUCUCCUUCGGGCAUUUCAUGCUCGUUUUCCGUCCCGCCCCGGUUCCUUCCGCCCGGUGGGCGUUUCUGAGAGGGGGGGUACUGUCAGGGUACCUUUGGUGUCUACCUCGGAGGAGGUUAGACACCUAGACGUCCAUCCUCCCAGGGGGGCUGACUCACCCGAUCCUUGCACUCCUCCCGGUCGUUUACACGCCGGCCGCGAUAGCUCCGCCUCCUUUUAUGACGCGGCGCUCAGUAGCCGACGUCAUGACGGCAAUCACGCUCCGACCCGUCAAUCACGGCAACCAAGUGCCGAACAACCAAUCAGGACCCGUUGGGGGCGGAGCCAACAGUUAAAGAGCCAAGGUAUAAAAAAGGGUUCUGUGGAAUGAUUCAUUGCCCUGUCGUGGUUCUAGCUAGUCUGGUCACUCAGUGCAAUUACCUCUAUUGUCUUUUGGUUCCUGACUCGGCUUGUAUUUUGACCCUGCUUUCCUCUCUUGUCCUUUUGACUCGGCUUGUCUCUCGCUUACCUGAUCUCUCGUUCCCUCGACCUCGGCUUGUCUCUGACUAUUCUUUUGCUUUCUCCUUACGUUAGUCCGGCCAUUCUAAGGUCCGGUAUACGUACCUAUCCCCUGUUUGUAUUCUGCGUGUUGGAUCCCUGUCACGAUCCUGACAGUCACAAUAUUCUGUUCUAAAAGUGGCCUAAAGUACCUUGGGGGAAUCACCAUGAUUUUUGUUGGUGACUGUUUCCCUUUUAAAUUUUUGCACCACUUUGUAGAAUAGAACAUACUGACAAAUGUCCCCUGCUGUCUAGCCUUGGGUUCUCUUUUGGCUAACCUCCUAUGAAAUAUUUAGUUAUGCCUGGCCACCUGAAAGAUUGAGGAUACAUUCUCUACCACUACUCCAUCAUCUAUUCUUGUUAGUUUCUGUUCUUGUCUUUUUGAGUUUGGGUCUGUAUCGUUCCUGACAGUACCCCUUCUUGGUCUCUAUAUAUUUUUCAAUGGACAGUCUGCAAUGCUCCCAUUCUCAACAAUGUGGCAAACAACAACUUGUGAAGAUUCUCUACAUUAGACCAAAGAUGACCUUUCUUAAAGGACCACUAUAGUGCCAGGAAAACAUACUUGUUUUCCUGGCACUAUAGUGCCCUGAGGGUGCCUCCACCCUCAGGGACCCCCUGCCGCCGGGCUCUAGGUCCUUCUCUUCUCCUCUUCGGCUGAAUGCGCAUUUGCGUGGCAGGAGCCGCGCGCGCAUUCAGCCAGUCCAUAGGAAAGCAUUCGCAAUGCUUUCCUAUGGACACAAGCAUCUUCUCACUGUGAAAAUCACAGUGAGAAGCGCGGAAGCCCUCUAGCGGCUGUCAAUGAGACAGCCACUAGAGGCUGGAUUAACCCAUAGGUAAACAUAGCAGUUUCUCUGAAACUGCUAUGUUUACAGAAAAAAGGGUUAAACCUAUCUGGACCUGGCACCCAGACCACUUCAUUAAGCAUUAAGCUGAAGUGCUCUGGGUGCCUAUAGUGGUCCUUUAAGGUCUACAUUAUAGUAACAGCAGUAAAUCCUCAUAAAAUGGGAUUCAUUGCCUUGGACAAUGAUCUCCCCAAGUCUCAUGGAGAAACUUUUUUCCUCUGAGAAGGGGUUCUUUCUGCGAGAAAACAUCCUGCCUAUGUUAAUGGUAUUUUCAGGUGUCUAGCAAAUCUCCCUUACAAAAUGCACUCAAGGGAAGCCAUGUGUAAUUUUAUCAUUACUGUUUUACAUAGCAACAACACACCAAAUCCAAUACUUUGUGCCCAGUGAUUGGAAUGUGCUACACUAAGUAAAGCAGAGGAAUUACUAGCGUCUACUUCACCACCUAAGCCAAGAUUUUGUGUUGGUAAAAUGUAAUUCCCACCACUGAAACGAAAAAAAAUUAUCCAUUCGAGAGCAGUUGUGUCGAAAAAACAGGUGGUGGCCUUCAUUUUUAAACAUAACCUUUUAUUUUGUGGCAUCUUGAAGGCAGAGUGGAACAUCUUGAAUAAGAGGGAAGAUGAUGGGAUGGUUUAGCUUCCCAAGACACAUUACUUAACAAUUGUUAUUUACAAAAUGUACUGACAACACGCCAAUUAUUAUUGAAUUUAAUCUUUCAUCGACCCCGAAUGCCUCCUGGAUGAUGGGAGAUUACAUUCACUUCCAACUGUAAGAUUAGCUAAUCUCCUUUCCAGUGACACUGUUGCCACAAAUUACAUCUUGUCAGCUGUCACUAACCCCUUCCAAGAAAGCAGGGAUAUGGCACGAUGGGACAGUGGAGGACACUAGUCCACCAACGAUUCCAGCAUCUUAGACUCUUCCUCCUCUCUGUCUCCUUUCCACCCUCUCCCUUCCACUGUUGAUAUUUUACAUUUCUUUUGCUGACACAGAGUUAAUGCACAUAUGGAAGUAAUUGUUCUUGUAAAUAGAGAUAAUUCCUGCCUUUCCAACAGAGUUUGACUCAGAGAGUGCAGGGGAGGAGGUCAGAGGAGUAAAAGGGUUUUUCUAAGUACAUUUUAGAAUUGGAGACAGUUUCUGCUUAACGCACUUGCACAUUUACAUAUACAUAUUGCUUGUGUGUUAAAAAGUUUCUGACUGUAAAAAUGUAAAGAAAAUGCCUCUCUUUUCUCUACAUAUUCAUGGAGUAUAGGCUUUUACUUGCAUAAUAAACAGACCGAAGCUGCUCUUUGAUAGUCAUCAAAAUGCAGACUCUGACUCAAAACAGAAUGUCUUCUAGGUAAUGGGGUUAAUAGGUUGUUCUAUUUAGUCUUAAAGAAGAGCUUGAAAUCUUACUCCAAAUAUUUUUUUUUAAACUGUAAUUUCAGUAAAAACACUGUUUUUGGUUAGAGUAACCCUUCAUAAACUGUCUCACCUCCCUCCACCAAAAAGAAAAAAUGAAGAAAACAACUAAAACCUAUUUCUAUUACAGCGCCAAGGACAAGUUCUCCCUGCACCUCAAUGUUCUGUUGACGUCAGUACCCUCUCAUAAGACAGGCAAACAUUGGCAGCACAGAGGGGAGCAUGCUGCCUCUUUUGCCACAUUGCACACAAUUUGCAUUAACCACCAGAAAUUCUUGCUCUGGCUUUACUAAUGACACCAGAAUAAUGCUGGUGGAUGUGUAACAGAAUGUGCAGCAUUUCAUAGCAAAACUCUGCACAUACAGACUCCAGACACCAUGACCAUUUCAAAUCACUGAAGUGAUUAUGGUGUUUGAAGUAACCCUUUAAAGGCACAAAAAGAAAGCUAUAGGCUGUAAUUGAGGAACUUGAAUUGUACAUUAAGGAAUUAAAGUAAGUUUAUAUGCAGUUAUAGGAGUUAAAUGUGUCUACCGCAAGGGCUGAUUAAAGAUGAGUUACAAAAGUUGCUCUAUAUAUUGUGAUAGCUUAAUUGAAAGAAAACACAUGACUUGAAUAUAAGUUGUAACUCCCAAAUGUCCUGGCACAGUCACAACAAAACGAUACCAGAGAAAGUCACAGCAAAAAACAAACAAUGCAAGACAACUGCAAGCCAUUUCUUUCCGUAUAUUACAACGCUUCUGCAGUGCUCUUGGCAUGCACUGGACCCCCUGGACACAAACUGACACACACACAGAUGCACAGACACACAGAUACAAACACUAUCACACAGUUGUCUCAGGCCAACAGAGCACUGCUCGCUCACUGAUUGGCUAAUACUGUGUUUGCUUGUUAUUGAAUUCCGAUUGGUGGGUGGUGUUUUUGUACAAGCUCACAUCAGCAUGCCGUUGUUGGCGGCAAAAACUUAAGAGUAUAUUGGCUGAUCUGUAGAGAAGCUCCCUUUUGGCGCCAAAUAGCUCUAUAUAAGUACAAAGCUCGGCUUGACAGCUCAGCAUCACUUUUGAUGCUGAAGGCAAUUGUGGAGUAGAAGUGCGGUAAUCACGUUAUCUGCGUUAUUUUUACUGUAGUGGCAUUGUUUGUGGUACGUUGUCCCCUAGAUUAAAAUAAUAGGCGGCCUGACUAUGCCACUAAUGGCUCUUAAUGGAAUAGUUUUAAUAUCAAGAGUAAUUUAUACAUAUUUAUACUAUAAAGAGCUGCUCUGGAAAUAAUAUAUCAAAUCACAUAAAGGUGUGCGUGUGUGUGUUUGUUUGUGUCAUUUAUUAUUAGAUUUUGGCACAAAGAACUCCAAAACCUGGUUGGGUUACACUAAGCUGUCAGCUGAUACCCCUAUUUUGUUUGGGUAAGUGUGUGCUCAAUGUGCACAAUGUGUGCUGUCCAGGCCCAGACUGGCCAUCGGGCAUACCGGGCAAAUGCCCGGUGGGCCGCGAUGGCCGUGGGCCGAGGCCGGCAGGGGAGAUCACAGGAUCUCUGCGGCCGGCCCAUGCAGAGCCAGCGCUACCCGAGCGCCAGUCCUGCUGUGUGCCUUCAUGGGCCGGUGGGGAGAUCAAAGAUCUCCCUCACCGGCCCACAGGCAAUCAUAAGCGGCCGCAGGCUGGGAAGUGAGGGAGGCAGGAGAGGACCCGGGGGAGCUCUAGCCAGCAGCUCCGCCGGGUCCUCUUGCGUGAUUCUGAGCGUUGCCGCGGUUAUCGCGGCAACGCUCAGAUCUCGCGAGAGUGAACUCUAGCCUGCAGGCUAGAGUUCACUCUCACCACUAGGACCACUAAGAAGGGAGGGAGGGGGAUAUAACUUUUUUAUUUAUUAUUAUUAAUAAAAAAAAAUUUAAAUAAAAAAUAAAUUCACACUCACACUAACAGCUCCCUCACACACACAGCACCCCCAGACACACACACAGCACCCUCAGACACACACAGCACCCUCAGACACACACACAGCACCCCCAGACACACACAUCACCCAGACACACACAGCACCCUUUAGACACACACAGCACACCCAGACACACACAGCACCCUCAGACACACACAGCACCCUCAGACACACACAGCACCUUCAGACGCACACAGCACCUUCAGACACACACAACACCCUCCAGCACCCUCGCUGACACACACAGCACACUCCCACACAUAUACAGCACACACAAAGGCACACACACACAUAUAUAUAUAAAUAUAUAUAUAUAUAUAUAUAUAUAUAUAUAUAUAUAAAAUAACCCUCAGUGAGUUAACAGACAAAGAAAAUUAGAAACCUAGAAUGUGACGGCAGAUAAAAACACCCUCACACACAGCACCCCUCUUACACAACACACACUGCGCCCCUCACACAUACAAUACGUCCAAAUAUAUAUAUAUACACACACACACACUACAGCACCCCUCACACUGCACCACUACACACAUUACGCUCCAGAUACAUGCUAGAUCCCUUACCCUAUAUAAACUCUUAAUCCUCUACACACACACACACACACACACAAUCUCCUAUACACACUCUUGGUCCUUUACACACUAGAUCUCCUACACACACACACACACACUGCACCACCUACACACACACACUACAUUCCCUGUCAGCAAACACAUACAACAUUCUCUAAACACACCCUCUCUACAACCCCUACACACACUAUGUCACCUAUACACACACACUACAGCCUGUAUUCACACACUCGCUACAUCCCCUAUAACACUAUGCCCCCUAUACACACACUCUCUACAGCCCCUAGCCACAAAUAUUACACCACAAACACAAAUGAAAUUUACCUAUUUACACAAUACCACACCACACUCUACACACACGCAAUCCCACAAGCAGGCUCCAAACACAUGCACCAUACACUUUCCUGGCCCUUUUGUCCUCUGGUAUCACACUUGUGGAGACAGCAGAGACAAUUUAAAAGCAAACACAGCGCAAGCAUGUUAUUAAAUUUGCUUGCACUGCGCAGAACAAAUGCAGGGCCUUUUUUUAAAUGCUAGAGCUCUUCAGUGGGGCUCACGUUGAGAGGGGGCGUGCUUGUCAUUAGUGAUGACAAAACACACCCUCUCUGGCCCCGCCCCCUGAUUGAAAAAUGCCUGGACCGAAUUUUUUUCCCAUUCCGGCCCUGGUGCUGUCUGUCUUGUGGACUUGCUGUAGUUUCCAGCCACCAUACUUGCUGUUAAAACCGUAGAGCCAGUGGCAUAGAGAUACAGUUAAAAAUUCAUAUAGCGUUAUUUACUAAAAUGAAUUUCAAAUCUAGGGCCAAAAUAACCAUGUUGGAAAAGUUCUCCAAAUUAGCUAUGCUUUCAGUUCAGCCAUUUUUGCAUUAAAGUGACAUGCAUCACAAUAAUUUUUUUAAACCAGCAAUCAAACACUUUAAAACCAAAUAUAAAAAAACAAAAUUAGGCCAGAAAAACUUUGAAAAGUAUGUAAUAAAUGGACUAUAAACUUGGUCAGAUUGCAUUAUUAGACACACCUCUUAGCUAGGGGAGUUUCUUUAGCCUUCCCCCAACCCCUCUCUCUUACCCACCCACCCAGCCCAAUAAUGACAGAAACAAGGCAUCAUUGUAUAGCAGCAGGAGAGAAAAACAUGACAUCUGAUUAUACUCUGCAUAAUCACACUGAUCAGACUCUUUUCUUUCCCUGUCAGGAUGUUGCAAAGAUCUUCAAGCUACACAUAUAAAUCUGCCAGGCAUGUCCAACGCACUUUUCCAGCAUUCCUAGGGAUAGGACACUGAUUGGUUAGAUCAAUGGGUGGGUGUGGAAAGCACAAGAAAGAAGAAUCAGGUAAACAUGAAAAAGAAUCAUAUUCAUCUGCUGUUUUCAGUCUUCGGAGUGAGGCAUGUCCCUUUAAAUUUGAAAUUCAUUUUCAAUUUACUUUGAAUGCCCAAUUGUUUUCACGUUAGUAAAUAACCGUUUAUGUUAAAUAGCAUUUUCUGAGUGCUUUUAAUAGUGGUUAUUACACAAAAUAUAAUAUUUGGAUCAAAUAUGUCUCUAUAAAGUGUCACCCCUUUUUGCAUGACAAAUGUCCUUCAAUAGUGUAUAAUUCAAGGUCUUAAUUUUGUGAGCAGGGCAGUGGUGAGCCAAAUGCUCUUAUCUGAAUAAACAAGUUCCUUAUACUUUGAUGUGAGCAGUUUUUUCCUUAUUUGUGGGAGGAUUUGAACUUAGGAUAUGCGCGAUUAUUUCAACACAGGGCAGGAUUUUCUGAGAAGACUAGGACACCAUGUGACUACGUAACUAUGAUACAAUAGAAGGAAAACUGCCCUGUGAAUCACGGACAGAUGUGAGGAAGCUGCUAAACAGCUGGAAGCCACCAUGUUUAAUCCCAAGAGCUGUCGCACGUCUGUGAACAUCUGUCCUUAAAUCUAUUGGUGAUUAUUAAAGAAUCCUUAUG